AUUGAACGCUGGCGGCAUGCCUUACACAUGCAAGUCGAACGGUAACAGGUCUUCGGAUGCUGACGAGUGGCGAACGGGUGAGUAAUACAUCGGAACGUGCCCGAUCGUGGGGGAUAACGGAGCGAAAGCUUUGCUAAUACCUCAUACGAUCUACGGAUGAAAGCAGGGGACCGCAAGGCCUUGCGCGGACGGAGCGGCCGAUGGCAGGUUAGGUAGUUGGUGGGAUAAAAGCUUACCAAGCCGACGAUCUGUAGCGGGUCUGAGAGGACGACCAGCCACACUGUGACUGAGACACGUCACAGACUCCUACGGGAGGCAGCAGUGGGGAAUUUUGGACAAUGGGCGAAAGCCUGAUCCAGCCAUGCCGCGUGCAGGAUGAAGGCCUUCGGGUUGUAAACUGCUUUUGUACGGAACGAAAAGACUCUUUCUAAUAAAGAGGGUCCAUGACGGUACCGUAAGAAGAAGCACCGGCUAACUACGUG
RNAcentral lists this ribosomal RNA (482 nucleotides) under uncultured bacterium. RNAcentral's name for it is "partial 16S ribosomal RNA". It matches the Rfam family "Bacterial small subunit ribosomal RNA", at positions 30 to 507 of the family's 1533-position model. The record is from RNAcentral.